Molecule: ribosomal RNA, 600 nt
Filed under: uncultured bacterium
Lineage: Bacteria
Description: bacterial SSU rRNA
Rfam family: Bacterial small subunit ribosomal RNA
Source: RNAcentral
GGUGAGAUCAAGUGGCGAACGGGUGAAUAACACGUGAAGCUACGACCUGAAACUCUGGGAUAAGCGCUGGAAACGGCGUCUAAUACUGGAUACGAGCCGUGAAGGCAUCUUCAACCGGUUGGACAAGAUUUUCCGGUCAGGGAUGAGCUCGCGGGCCUAUCAGCUUGUUGGUGAGGUAAUGGCUCACCAAGGCGUCGACGGGUAGCCGGCCUGAGAGGGUGACCGGCCACACUGGGACUGAGACACGGCCCAGACUCCUACGGGAGGCAGCAGUGGGGAAUAUUGCACAAUGGGCGCAAGCCUGAUGCAGCAACGCCGCGUGAGGGAUGAUGGCCUUCGGGUUGUAAACCUCUUUUAGCAGGGAAGAAGCGAAAGUGACGGUACCUGCAGAAAAAGCGCCGGCUAACUACGUGCCAGCAGCCGCGGUAAUACGUAGGGCGCAAGCGUUAUCCGGAAUUAUUGGGCGUAAAGAGCUCGUAGGCGGUUUGCCGCCGUACUGCUGUGAAAUCCCCGAGGUCAACCUCCGGGGUCUGGCCAGUGGGGUAACGGGGCAGAACUAAGUGCCGGCACGGGGGAGCAUCGGGAAUUCCCUGGGUNGUA